AAGAAAUCUCCCUGCUGGAACUGGUUCUUUAUAUACCAUAUGCAAUUAAGUUAUUGCCAUAGGAAGAAAGUGGGCUGUUUUUUGUUCUUUCUUUGUUUUUUUUUCCUCUUACAGGAAUCCCCUUUUGAUUUAAGGCCACAAACAUUUCCCCUCCGUUGUUUGUCCAUUUAGCUGCUGCAUAUGUGUUGUAAUGGUUUUCCAGAAUUAGAUCUUUGAAGUUACAAUCUUCAUUGCAUUCCUUCUGUUAAAACAAACAAACAAACAAACAAACAAACAAACAUGAUCCAAAUGAUUUUUAGAGAGGCUCAAUUAAACGAAGAGUAAGCAGGUAAUAUUUGGUAGAAUUGAAACAUACACAACUUUUUUUAACCCUCAGAUUGAGCAGGCCUAAUGUGGUUUAUUAGCUAGACUUAUGUAGUAUAUUUGCAUUAAAAGGUAUCUUAAAUUUGAAAUAGAAACACCACAUAAUACACAGCUAGUUAUGAAAUAUGUGUAGCUUUUUGGAAGUUCAUGUCAACUAUUCUUUAAAAUUAGGACCUAUUUCCCCCUAAGUAACAGGCCUCAUAUUACUAUUCCCACAUCACUCAUUCUUUAACCACUGGAAAUUUGCUAUAAUUAGCAGAACCUCUGCCUCCCUCAGGUGAGAGACUUGUUUCACAACUUUUCUUUAUUUACUUCUACAUUGUCUUCAAUGGUAAUGGAAGAUAAAAGGUUAAUUUGUUUGUUCAUCCAUGCAACCAUUUGUUCAUUACAGUGAGAUGAACUGUUACAUAUUUUGCAUUGUAGUGAAGUGGGAACAAUGUGAAUAAUUACAGUUCAAAGCCCAUGAUUGUCAGAUUGAUAUUGAUGAAUGAACUAAACAUUUCAAGAUUUUUUCCCAAGAAUUUUCAUGUCAGCAAUGUGCAAAUUGAGUGAACUUUAACAAAAAGAGCUUUAAUACUGGCAAAUGGAAAUUUUGGAUUUUAAAUAUCUAAAAUGCACAUGGAAUUUUAGAGCUGGCAGGAUCCUUAGAGGUCAGCUAAUUCAACUCAUUUUACAGAUGAAGAAACCAAAAUCCAAAGAACAAGCCAUUUGUCCAAAGUCACACAGAAAACAUUUUUUCUUAAUGUUUGAGUAUAAAGUGUUUUAAUAAAAUCAUUAAAUUAUACAGUUGGAGAUAAAUUAAGUCCAUUUUUACUUUUCAGAAUGGUGAGAUAUUUCAACAAAAGAGUUUUAAAAAUUAAGCCUAAGCUAUCAAUUAUCAAUACCUUUGCAUAGAGUUUUCCUUCCUCGUUCAUUGCAAGAUAGAAUUCACUUUCCACCCCUUUGAUUGCCACAAUCCCAACUGCUACUGUCCUGAUUUCCAUGAUAUCUGCAAGGAAUCACAGAAAGACAUGUCAAGUAUUCGUUCAGCUUUGCAAAUGAUCCACGAAUGGCCGUUUGUUCUUAUUUCUGUUUUAAUCGGAAGUUUUUAAAAUUUUUAAUGUGAUUAUUUACUCAGCCCAAGACCCCGACCCACAACAGAUACA
This 1508-nucleotide long non-coding RNA is filed under the name Homo sapiens (human). RNAcentral's name for it is "HSALNT0352347". The record is from RNAcentral. Lineage: Eukaryota; Metazoa; Chordata; Mammalia; Primates; Hominidae.